Molecule: long non-coding RNA, 984 nt
Filed under: Homo sapiens (human)
Lineage: Eukaryota; Metazoa; Chordata; Mammalia; Primates; Hominidae
Description: novel transcript
Source: RNAcentral
GGCAGUUAGGAGCCUCGUGCUCUUGGCUCACUUCAUAGCCAUCUAGUUCUGUGGCCUACCAGUUCUCAUCCUUUGAAUUCUUAGGUUAGACGAGAAGAUACAUGAGAUCUCUAAAUCUUCAGGUUUAAACGUAGAUGUCUUUCACUACACCAGAGUAAAUAGCUUAUUCAAUAUUCAUUUUAUGAUCGUUAUUGGACUUCGGCUUCCUACUGCCUUUCAAAUAGGCCAUCGCAAGAUUUUGUCCAGUAGUAACGCCAGCAUUCAUCCUUUAAUGUUCGUGCCCGUCUCCUUAGUGCUUGAUAGAAAGGAUGCACUUCUUAUGUUAGCAAUGCUUGUGGAGCCUUUGUGGUCAUUCUCAGACAUGCACAGAGUGGGGAAAAACAUUGAGUCACCUGGAAUCCACGUUCAGCUGAGGUUGAACCAGGAGAAGAGAUCGAAAUAUUGAUACUUCUGCAGAAAUGUGUCAUUCAUAUUGAAAAACAUCUGGACAGAAUCACUUCUUUGGGAGUGAAAGCAGUUUGAAAACGCAAUCCUGGAAUCAGGGCACUACGGGUAACCACAUUCUCACUUUACAAAUGAUAACUCACACACCCCAUGGAAGAUCCGGGAAGUCUUCUGAUGCCCCUGCUUUCCAAGACAAUAUGAUGCUUCUCUACAUUCCAUGGACUAUGACAAGUAUAUCAGUCGUCGAAGUGGGUGGUUUAAUGGCAUGAUUAGCUCCAUUUUCUCUUCCUGCAGCAUAGCAAAGUGCAUAAAGCUUGAGCUCUGUGUCCAGCAGAUCUUUAUUAGAAUUCCAGUCCCCCCACAGUUACAUAUGCUCUCUCCCUGACAGUUUUCACAGAUGAAUCAUCCAGACUCCAUUUCCUAUUAGAGCUGGACCCUCCACUUGGACUUUUGACACUUAGACCCCUCUAGCCCACACAGGGACAUCAGUGCAAUAAUUCUCCCCUUUCUACAGCAUCAUUAAAUUUUGCCUCUCUCCUG